CAGUAGCGGCGAGCGAACGGGGAGGAGCCCAGAGCCUGAAUCAGUGUGUGUGUUAGUGGAAGCGUCUGGAAAGGCGCGCGAUACAGGGUGACAGCCCCGUACACAAAAAUGCACAUGCUGUGAGCUCGAUGAGUAGGGCGGGACACGUGGUAUCCUGUCUGAAUAUGGGGGGACCAUCCUCCAAGGCUAAAUACUCCUGACUGACCGAUAGUGAACCAGUACCGUGAGGGAAAGGCGAAAAGAACCCCGGCGAGGGGAGUGAAAAAGAACCUGAAACCGUGUACGUACAAGCAGUGGGAGCCUCUUUUAUGGGGUGACUGCGUACCUUUUGUAUAAUGGGUCAGCGACUUAUAUUCUGUAGCAAGGUUAACCGAAUAGGGGAGCCGAAGGGAAACCGAGUCUUAACUGGGCGUUAAGUUGCAGGGUAUAGACCCGAAACCCGGUGAUCUAGCCAUGGGCAGGUUGAAGGUUGGGUAACACUAACUGGAGGACCGAACCGACUAAUGUUGAAAAAUUAGCGGAUGACUUGUGGCUGGGGGUGAAAGGCCAAUCAAACCGGGAGAUAGCUGGUUCUCCCCGAAAGCUAUUUAGGUAGCGCCUCGUGAAUUCAUCUCCGGGGGUAGAGCACUGUUUCGGCAAGGGGGUCAUCCCGACUUACCAACCCGAUGCAAACUGCGAAUACCGGAGAAUGUUAUCACGGGAGACACACGGCGGGUGCUAACGUCCGUCGUGAAGAGGGAAACAACCCAGACCGCCAGCUAAGGUCCCAAAGUCAUGGUUAAGUGGGAAACGAUGUGGGAAGGCCCAGACAGCCAGGAUGUUGGCUUAGAAGCAGCCAUCAUUUAAAGAAAGCGUAAUAGCUCACUGGUCGAGUCGGCCUGCGCGGAAGAUGUAACGGGGCUAAACCAUGCACCGAAGCUGCGGCAGCGACGCUUAUGCGUUGUUGGGUAGGGGAGCGUUCUGUAAGCCUGCGAAGGUGUGCUGUGAGGCAUGCUGGAGGUAUCAGAAGUGCGAAUGCUGACAUAAGUAACGAUAAAGCGGGUGAAAAGCCCGCUCGCCGGAAGACCAAGGGUUCCUGUCCAACGUUAAUCGGGGCAGGGUGAGUCGACCCCUAAGGCGAGGCCGAAAGGCGUAGUCGAUGGGAAACAGGUUAAUAUUCCUGUACUUGGUGUUACUGCGAAGGGGGGACGGAGAAGGCUAUGUUGGCCGGGCGACGGUUGUCCCGGUUUAAGCGUGUAGGCUGGUUUUCCAGGCAAAUCCGGAAAAUCAAGGCUGAGGCGUGAUGACGAGGCACUACGGUGCUGAAGCAACAAAUGCCCUGCUUCCAGGAAAAGCCUCUAAGCAUCAGGUAACAUCAAAUCGUACCCCAAACCGACACAGGUGGUCAGGUAGAGAAUACCAAGGCGCUUGAGAGAACUCGGGUGAAGGAACUAGGCAAAAUGGUGCCGUAACUUCGGGAGAAGG
This 1464-nucleotide ribosomal RNA is filed under the name Escherichia coli. RNAcentral describes it as "partial 23S ribosomal RNA". It matches the Rfam family "Bacterial large subunit ribosomal RNA", at positions 241 to 1746 of the family's 2925-position model. Lineage: Bacteria; Pseudomonadati; Pseudomonadota; Gammaproteobacteria; Enterobacterales; Enterobacteriaceae. The record is from RNAcentral.